CCGGGACCGGCCAGUCCGGCGCCGGCGCGCCGCGGCCCCAGACGGACAACUCCCUCUUCCCCGCCCCGCGCUCCACUGCCUCCCGCGGAGGCCCGGCCCAGCCCCGGGACCCUACGCCCAGGGACAUCCCCUUCCUCGCCUGGACGCCCAGAGCUCCGCUGGAGAGCGCGUCGGCUCCACAGCCUCAGAGACCCAGGGACACUCACCACGGAGGCUCCUCCCGCUGCUGCUGCUGCUGGGACCGCUGCCGUCGCCUCCGCCGCCGCCGCCCCCAGCACCGCCGUCCGCACCAGCGCCAGCACCCGCGGCCAUCCUCCUCCUGCCGCCGCCGCCCUCUCCUCUCCUCUUCUGUCAGUGGCUCAGGCUCCGGGACUGCUCCAGGUUCCCCACGCCGCCAUUUUGACUCCUCCAGGGAGCAGGAGGGGCUCGGCUCGGCGCGGCCCUGGGGCGCCUGCGCGGCGCUGCGGAGCCUACCCGGCCCCGCCCGCCCUCGCCGACGGCGCGCUGGGUCACGUGAUGCGGUGUCGGCGCCUGCGCCUGAGUCAGGGGCGAGGAGCACCGGGGAGGCGCGUUCGUGGGGCCUGGACCCGUGGGAGCCGAGUGCAAGCUCUUUAUUCCUGCUCGUUUUCUAGGUGUGGGGUGACAGAUCGUUCUGUAUUUGCAGCUCUUUGUAGCAUCUCGCUUAUUUCAGGGAACUGUGGCACAUUAUUAAAUGUAUCAGAAUGAAAUCGUAAUAACUGCGUCACUAGACGAUCAGUUCUAUCAAUUCACGUUCUGCUCGGCGGCCGACAUCCUUGGAGUGAUCGGGCAUGAUGCAUCAUUGUCUCAGGGAACUGCAAUUCCGUGGAAAAGUACUCUGACAGACUUGGCGCUUCGGUGGCUGCUUCUUGGCAGUGUUUCUUAAAGCAUUUGCCUGCGUGGUCCCUUUACAGGCACCACUUUGCUAAUUUGUAUAGUGGCUAUAAAAAAGUCUUAGGGGUGUAACUCCGUGGUAGAACGCGUACUUAGCAUGUACAGGGCCCCGGGUCCCAGUCCCAGAUCAUAAAGGCACUGAGGUUUCCCUCUCAAGAUCCCACCAAACACAGGACAGCACUCAUGGAAGCUUACAAUCCGCACUUGGGAGAGCCAAAUUGCUUCCUUAGAUAACCCUUGUUUGGGAGUCUGCAAUAAUUUCAACGUUGCAACAACAAAAACACCUUAUAUUUAUGAAGCACUCUUACAAUUUUCAAAACAGUUAAAUACAUGGUCUCAUUUGAACGCCAAAAACCACCCUUUGAGGUAGUUGGAACAGGUGUUACUAUUGCCAAUUUUCAGCUAAAUGAGCAAGCCAAGACUAGCAUACAGGCUUCUGACUCUGGCCAAUGAGCACUAUUGCAUCUCACUAGCCUCUGACAGGUUUAAACAAUAUUGCUGUAAAUUCUUCCAGGAAUUUAUUUUAAAGUAUUUGCAUUUUCCAUCUCUAUCCACUCUUUAAGAUGGGUAGCUGGCAGGCCUCUUUUAAGUUUUUUAAAAAUUAUUUUUAGUUGUAGAUGGACGCAAUACCUUUAUUUAUUUUUUUGUGGUGCUGAGGAUCAAAUCCAAUGCCUCAUAGGUGCUAGGCAAGCACUAGGCAAGCGCUCUGCCACUGAGCUAAGACCCCAGCCCUUUUGAGUUGUUUUUAAACCUCCUCUGAAACCAGGGGAAAACCUGAACAAACCCUUUAGAUUUAAGUUGCUCUUAGUUACUUGAUUUUCUAGACUAACCCACUUCAUAUACUCUGAGCUAUGUAUUUUUUUUCUAAGUAUUAGUCAUUUAGUUAACUAAAAGUUAACACCUCUGAGGUGUAGAUUAUAAUGGUGACACAUUAUAAUGUGACAGUUGAUGAAGUUUGAUCUAAUAAAUAUUCCCAAAUCCUAUUUGGGGGAGGUGGAUUUAAGUCUUACUCUCUAGUCUCCACAUGCUUGGCUGCCUCAUGAAUAGAUUCUUUCUGUUUUGCAAAAUUCAUUAUUUCAGUAUUGGGUGUACUCUGUUUCAUGCAACUCCAAGCUCCACGGGAUAAAAGCAAUGUGGAGUUUUGUUAUGUGUUUUAAACCAUCUCUUGAUCCCUUAUUAUUUUAUCCAUUUUGUAAUCAGUUGCAGGACUUAUAUUUUUUUAGAUAUCUUCCAAUGUCAUUGCUUUUUUUUGGUUCUUUCUUCAGAUUUGUUAUUUCUUCCUUGUGUUCAUCCACCACAUCCCUUUUUUUGAAAAGACAGUUCUUUCCAAUUUGUAUUAGUUUACUCUUUCCUCUUCUAUCCUAUGUGUCUCCCCUACUUUAAUCCUUGAAUAUUUGGAGAUUAUAGUAUAUUGUAGUAAGGAUUCAAAAAAGGAUUCCCCUCUAGCUGACAAAUCUUACCAACCGUGCACCCAGCUGUAGAUAAUGGGCAAGAAGUAGAUGAAAAAUUGAGAAAAUCAAGGGAAAUAGGCCCAUCUAGUUGGAGCCAAUGAUUAGUUCUGAGUGUCUACCUCCUAUUCCCCUACUGUUAUACUUCUCCUAAAUUUAUAAUUUAAAUUAUAAAUUGAAGCCACCUACCAUUAUUUCCCAUUAUUUGGCCUUUGUCCUCAUCAACUAAACGUUAUGUCACUGUAAAGGGGUUCCAGGUGGUCUCUCCAGAGGCAGAGGAGAUCUCCACCUAGACCUUCCCUGCUCUUGACACAUUGCAGAAAAGAAUUUAAGGACGAGUCAGAUUUUAGCAAAGAGGAAGAUUUUUAUUAGAAAGGGAGAGGUGGAGGUACACAUUCUCAGAGCAGAAUGAAGGUUAUCUAGGCGUGGGCAGGGGAAGGUAUCUGGGAACAGCACAAGUAUGGCGAUCCCAGGAGGUUUAUGAUGGUCUCGUCUUCCAGGAUCUUCAGGUUGACAUUGCCUCUUUUAUCUAGAUGACAUUUGAAAUGUGUCUAUGGUGUAGGUUUCUUAAAAUGCACCUCCCUGUGUUUGAUCUAAUCUGAAAAUACAUUGUGUGUCUAACAGUGCUCUUGCAUUUUAAUUAAAAUGAGGCAAUUUUCAUAGAUGAGUGAAUUUACAAUAACUUUUAAAUUUGUAGAUUUCUUAGAAAUUUGGGAGUGACAAGCCUGGGAGAAAAACUGGCCUGGGAGGAAACAUAUGAGGAAUUUUAACACAAGGCUUUCAGAUUGUUGUAAUCUCCUUUUACUUCCUUUUAUUUAUUCUGUUUUCAUUGAAUUAACUGAAAAGGCAAGAGAAAGUUAGAUACACCCUGAAAAGAAAGACAGGCAAAUUGACUAGGGAUUGAAAUGUGACAAAAUGAUUAGGUUUAGGGCUUUUGUUAGGAUAUAGGGUGGAAUUUGCAGUAGCAUAAAACCUUGAAGUGGUACUUAGCCAUGAUCUAAAAUGAAAAACUCCUUUGUUGUGGUGCACACCUGUAAUCCCUGCUACAUAGUAGGUUGAUGUAGGAGUAUCACAGUUUAGGGCCAGCCUGGGCAACAUAGCAAGACCCUAUCUAAAAAUUCAAAAUGGAACAAAACAAAUUUAUAAUCCAAAACAAACUAAAAAGGACUGGCAAUGUAACUCAGUGAUAAUAUCACUGGAGGAGUUCCCAGAGAGGGGUUCUGGUUUCAGAACAUUUGGAAUCCUUGACUUAUGUGGCAAAAAGAAGAAAAAGGAAAAAAAAAAUUCCGCACCUACAGUUAGAGACAAAGACAGAUUUCUUUGGGAAAGCAGAUGCACAUUCAAAUAAGAAUGCAGGCCAUUUCCAAAACAAGAGAUAGCAAAUGGUUUGGGGCAUUAAUAUUUGUAGAGGGAAAUGUGUGGAGGUGCACACCUGUAUUCUCAGUGACUUGGGAGGCUGAGGCAGGAGGAUCACAAGUUCAAGGCUAGCCUCAGCAACUUAGUGAGAACCUGUCUCAAAAUAAAAAAUAAAAAGGGCUAAGGAUGUGGCUCAGUGUUAAGUGCCCCUGGGUUCAAUCUCCAGCAACCCCACCCCACAAAUUUCCUUGUCUA
This 3971-nucleotide long non-coding RNA is filed under the name Marmota monax (woodchuck). The record is from RNAcentral. Lineage: Eukaryota; Metazoa; Chordata; Mammalia; Rodentia; Sciuridae.